Molecule: ribosomal RNA, 2904 nt
Filed under: Escherichia coli
Lineage: Bacteria; Pseudomonadati; Pseudomonadota; Gammaproteobacteria; Enterobacterales; Enterobacteriaceae
Description: 23S ribosomal RNA
Rfam family: Bacterial large subunit ribosomal RNA
Source: RNAcentral
GGUUAAGCGACUAAGCGUACACGGUGGAUGCCCUGGCAGUCAGAGGCGAUGAAGGACGUGCUAAUCUGCGAUAAGCGUCGGUAAGGUGAUAUGAACCGUUAUAACCGGCGAUUUCCGAAUGGGGAAACCCAGUGUGAUUCGUCACACUAUCAUUAACUGAAUCCAUAGGUUAAUGAGGCGAACCGGGGGAACUGAAACAUCUAAGUACCCCGAGGAAAAGAAAUCAACCGAGAUUCCCCCAGUAGCGGCGAGCGAACGGGGAGCAGCCCAGAGCCUGAAUCAGUGUGUGUGUUAGUGGAAGCGUCUGGAAAGGCGCGCGAUACAGGGUGACAGCCCCGUACACAAAAAUGCACAUACUGUGAGCUCGAUGAGUAGGGCGGGACACGUGGUAUCCUGUCUGAAUAUGGGGGGACCAUCCUCCAAGGCUAAAUACUCCUGACUGACCGAUAGUGAACCAGUACCGUGAGGGAAAGGCGAAAAGAACCCCGGCGAGGGGAGUGAAAAAGAACCUGAAACCGUGUACGUACAAGCAGUGGGAGCCUCUUUUAUGGGGUGACUGCGUACCUUUUGUAUAAUGGGUCAGCGACUUAUAUUCUGUAGCAAGGUUAACCGAAUAGGGGAGCCGAAGGGAAACCGAGUCUUAACCGGGCGUUAAGUUGCAGGGUAUAGACCCGAAACCCGGUGAUCUAGCCAUGGGCAGGUUGAAGGUUGGGUAACACUAACUGGAGGACCGAACCGACUAAUGUUGAAAAAUUAGCGGAUGACUUGUGGCUGGGGGUGAAAGGCCAAUCAAACCGGGAGAUAGCUGGUUCUCCCCGAAAGCUAUUUAGGUAGCGCCUCGUGAAUUCAUCUCCGGGGGUAGAGCACUGUUUCGGCAAGGGGGUCAUCCCGACUUACCAACCCGAUGCAAACUGCGAAUACCGGAGAAUGUUAUCACGGGAGACACACGGCGGGUGCUAACGUCCGUCGUGAAGAGGGAAACAACCCAGACCGCCAGCUAAGGUCCCAAAGUCAUGGUUAAGUGGGAAACGAUGUGGGAAGGCCCAGACAGCCAGGAUGUUGGCUUAGAAGCAGCCAUCAUUUAAAGAAAGCGUAAUAGCUCACUGGUCGAGUCGGCCUGCGCGGAAGAUGUAACGGGGCUAAACCAUGCACCGAAGCUGCGGCAGCGACACUGUGUGUUGUUGGGUAGGGGAGCGUUCUGUAAGCCUGUGAAGGUGUACUGUGAGGUAUGCUGGAGGUAUCAGAAGUGCGAAUGCUGACAUAAGUAACGAUAAAGCGGGUGAAAAGCCCGCUCGCCGGAAGACCAAGGGUUCCUGUCCAACGUUAAUCGGGGCAGGGUGAGUCGACCCCUAAGGCGAGGCCGAAAGGCGUAGUCGAUGGGAAACAGGUUAAUAUUCCUGUACUUGGUGUUACUGCGAAGGGGGGACGGAGAAGGCUAUGUUGGCCGGGCGACGGUUGUCCCGGUUUAAGCGUGUAGGCUGGUUUUCCAGGCAAAUCCGGAAAAAUCAAGGCUGAGGCGUGAUGACGAGGCACUACGGUGCUGAAGCAACAAAUGCCCUGCUUCCAGGAAAAGCCUCUAAGCAUCAGGUAACAUCAAAUCGUACCCCAAACCGACACAGGUGGUCAGGUAGAGAAUACCAAGGCGCUUGAGAGAACUCGGGUGAAGGAACUAGGCAAAAUGGUGCCGUAACUUCGGGAGAAGGCACGCUGAUAUGUAGGUGAAGUCCCUCGCGGAUGGAGCUGAAAUCAGUCGAAGAUACCAGCUGGCUGCAACUGUUUAUUAAAAACACAGCACUGUGCAAACACGAAAGUGGACGUAUACGGUGUGACGCCUGCCCGGUGCCGGAAGGUUAAUUGAUGGGGUCAGCGCAAGCGAAGCUCUUGAUCGAAGCCCCGGUAAACGGCGGCCGUAACUAUAACGGUCCUAAGGUAGCGAAAUUCCUUGUCGGGUAAGUUCCGACCUGCACGAAUGGCGUAAUGAUGGCCAGGCUGUCUCCACCCGAGACUCAGUGAAAUUGAACUCGCUGUGAAGAUGCAGUGUACCCGCGGCAAGACGGAAAGACCCCGUGAACCUUUACUAUAGCUUGACACUGAACAUUGAGCCUUGAUGUGUAGGAUAGGUGGGAGGCUUUGAAGUGUGGACGCCAGUCUGCAUGGAGCCGACCUUGAAAUACCACCCUUUAAUGUUUGAUGUUCUAACGUGGACCCGUGAUCCGGGUUGCGGACAGUGUCUGGUGGGUAGUUUGACUGGGGCGGUCUCCUCCUAAAGAGUAACGGAGGAGCACGAAGGUUGGCUAAUCCUGGUCGGACAUCAGGAGGUUAGUGCAAUGGCAUAAGCCAGCUUGACUGCGAGCGUGACGGCGCGAGCAGGUGCGAAAAGCAGGUCAUAGUGAUCCGGUGGUUCUGAAUGGAAGGGCCAUCGCUCAACGGAUAAAAGGUACUCCGGGGAUAACAGGCUGAUACCGCCCAAGAGUUCAUAUCGACGGCGGUGUUUGGCACCUCGAUGUCGGCUCAUCACAUCCUGGGGCUGAAGUAGGUCCCAAGGGUAUGGCUGUUCGCCAUUUAAAGUGGUACGCGAGCUGGGUUUAGAACGUCGUGAGACAGUUCGGUCCCUAUCUGCCGUGGGCGCUGGAGAACUGAGGGGGCUGCUCCUAGUACGAGAGGACCGGAGUGGACGCAUCACUGGUGUUCGGGUUGUCAUGCCAAUGGCACUGCCCGGUAGCUAAAUGCGGAAGAGAUAAGUGCUGAAAGCAUCUAAGCACGAAACUUGCCCCGAGAUGAGUUCUCCCUGACCCUUUAAGGGUCCUGAAGGAACGUUGAAGACGACGACGUUGAUAGGCCGGGUGUGUAAGCGCAGCGAUGCGUUGAGCUAACCGGUACUAAUGAACCGUGAGGCUUAACCUU